AUGCUCUCUGAGGUCAUAGGUGACAGCAGAUCGCCCGGGGCCGACUCCUGCUUCCACACAUCGGGGAAACAGAAAAAUAAUAUAUCAUUUGAAAAGAGUUUUAGUCGAAGCAACAGUUCAACAUUCAGGGGGAAAAAAAAGUUUAUUUGCU
Molecule: long non-coding RNA, 151 nt
Organism: Sebastes umbrosus (honeycomb rockfish)
Lineage: Eukaryota; Metazoa; Chordata; Actinopteri; Perciformes; Sebastidae
Exons: 3
Source: RefSeq, a predicted model, not a curated record